GAGCAUGUAAUAAAUGGCUUGAGAUUUAGUUUUGCAUACAGCUCACCAUUCUUUCCUUCCUCUCUCCUUGAUGGGAAAAAAGUAUAAUAAACUUAAACAGCUUGUUGAGUAAGCACGAAUGGCUCAUUGACAUAUGCUUUUGAUCCAUAUUUGAUUUCAAUAAGCCAAUGCCAUGGAUUAAUCUUCAUACCAUGCUUGUUAUCAAACCAUUGGC
Molecule: long non-coding RNA, 214 nt
Filed under: Elaeis guineensis (African oil palm)
Lineage: Eukaryota; Viridiplantae; Streptophyta; Magnoliopsida; Arecales; Arecaceae
Description: long non-coding RNA (EGUI_LNC008261)
Source: RNAcentral